UGCAGCUGUCCGUCGGUCCCGCCGGCCUCGCCUGAGCCAACCCGCCCCGGGGGCGGGGAAGGAGGGAGGGGCGGCUCCUCGCCUUGGCCACUCCGGGGCACGCAGCGCACCUUGAAACAGCGACGCGGAGCCCGCCGCCGCCGCAGAGAGGCAGAGGUAGGCGCGGACGGAGGGACAGAGGGGGCCUUUGCUGCCUGCAUCCGACGGCCAGGGCUAAGCGCGAGCGGCGGGACGCGCAGGUGCCGCUUCCGAGCCUCCUCCUGCCUGGCCAGGUACCGGGACGCGCCGCCCGCUCGGACGGGCGCUCCUCAGGCGACAGCGGCCGGCGGGGCAUGGUCGGCUCCGCUCGGGGCCAGGGGCUGGCGGCAAGGUGAAUCCGCUGCCGCCUGCCCGCCUCGUCCGGCCAGCAGCCACCGGGCAAGAUGGUCGUCGGCGAGGCCGCCGAGGUCGCCCUGCUCACUCUCGGUAUUUUAUUAGCAGUGUGCCAUGCCUUGGAGAACACAACGUCCGCCUUGAGUGCUGAUGUAACCAAGGAGAGAUUUGGUGUCUGUUCUUAUCCACAACAAUGUUAUCUUGGCUGCAUUUUGCUAACAAAAAUGGAAGGAGGUAAUAUCCGGUGCCAACUC
Long non-coding RNA from Rhineura floridana, 626 nucleotides. RefSeq lists it as uncharacterized. The record is from RefSeq and is a predicted model, not a curated record. NCBI's taxonomy places the organism in Eukaryota, Metazoa, Chordata, Lepidosauria, Squamata, Rhineuridae. The transcript has 3 exons.